AGAUUAAACUGAAGAGUUUGAUCCUGGCUCAGAUUGAACGCUGGCGGCAUGCCUUACACAUGCAAGUCGAACGGCAGCACGGACUUCGGUCUGGUGGCGAGUGGCGAACGGGUGAGUAAUAUAUCGGAACAUACCCUAGAGUGGGGGAUAACGUAGCGAAAGUUACGCUAAUACCGCAUACGCACUAAGGUGGAAAGUGGGGGAUCGCAAGACCUCAUGCUCAUGGAGUGGCCGAUAUCUGAUUAGCUAGUUGGUGAGGUAAAGGCUCACCAAGGCGACGAUCAGUAGCUGGUUUGAGAGAACGACCAGCCACACUGGAACUGAGACACGGUCCAGACUCCUACGGGAGGCAGCAGUGGGGAAUUUUGGACAAUGGGCGCAAGCCUGAUCCAGCAAUGCCGCGUGAGUGAAGAAGGCCUUCGGGUUGUAAAGCUCUUUUGUCAGGGAAGAAACGGUAGUCUCUAAUACAGAUUGCUAAUGACGGUACCUGAAGAAUAAGCACCGGCUAACUACGUGCCAGCAGCCGCGGUAAUACGUAGGGUGCAAGCGUUAAUCGGAAUUACUGGGCGUAAAGCGUGCGCAGGCGGUUAUAUAAGUCAGAUGUGAAAUCCCCGGGCUCAACCUGGGAACUGCAUUUGAGACUGUAUGGCUAGAGUGUGUCAGAGGGGGGUAGAAUUCCACGUGUAGCAGUGAAAUGCGUAGAUAUGUGGAGGAAUACCGAUGGCGAAGGCAGCCCCCUGGGAUAACACUGACGCUCAUGCACGAAAGCGUGGGGAGCAAACAGGAUUAGAUACCCUGGUAGUCCACGCCCUAAACGAUGUCUACUAGUUGUCGGGACUUAAUUGUCUUGGUAACGCAGCUAACGCGUGAAGUAGACCGCCUGGGGAGUACGGUCGCAAGAUUAAAACUCAAAGGAAUUGACGGGGACCCGCACAAGCGGUGGAUGAUGUGGAUUAAUUCGAUGCAACGCGAAAAACCUUACCUACCCUUGACAUGGUUGGAAUCCCGAAGAGAUUUGGGAGUGCUCGCAAGAGAACCAAUACACAGGUGCUGCAUGGCUGUCGUCAGCUCGUGUCGUGAGAUGUUGGGUUAAGUCCCGCAACGAGCGCAACCCUUGUCAUUAGUUGCUACAUUAAGUUGAGCACUCUAAUGAGACUGCCGGUGACAAACCGGAGGAAGGUGGGGAUGACGUCAAGUCCUCAUGGCCCUUAUGGGUAGGGCUUCACACGUCAUACAAUGGUACAUACAGAGGGCUGCCAAACCGCGAGGUGGAGCUAAUCCCAGAAAGUGUAUCGUAGUCCGGAUUGUAGUCUGCAACUCGACUACAUGAAGUUGGAAUCGCUAGUAAUCGCGGAUCAGCAUGUCGCGGUGAAUACGUUCCCGGGUCUUGUACACACCGCCCGUCACACCAUGGGAGCGGGUUUCGCCAGAAGUAGGUAGCUUAACCGUAAGGAGGGCGCUUACCACGGCGGGGUUCGUGACUGGGGUGAAGUCGUAACAAGGUAGCCGUAUCGGAAGGUGCGGCUGGAUCACCUCCUUUCUAG
This 1544-nucleotide ribosomal RNA is filed under the name Affinundibacterium amnicola. RNAcentral describes it as "bacterial SSU rRNA". It matches the Rfam family "Bacterial small subunit ribosomal RNA". The record is from RNAcentral. Lineage: Bacteria; Pseudomonadati; Pseudomonadota; Betaproteobacteria; Burkholderiales; Oxalobacteraceae.